ACGCCGGAGCCUGGUUAAGAGGGAAAUUCCCCUUCCCCCUCUUAACGAGACUAACGGUGUUUACUGUUUUGCAGAUUGCAAGCCAUCCGAUACGAGCGAGAGAAGAGGUUGAACCCCAUAAGUGAAACAACCCUCUUGGUUAUCCUUGUGUUAACCAUUGUUUCAACAUGGACAAACACAGAGGAGGCGAUCGCCAUGAAAACAGUCCUAAAACUUUCACCCUUACAGACGCUCUAGAGCCAGAAAUUCACGUUCUGAACACAAUAAUCCGUAUUCAGAGUUUUUGGUGCCUCUUUUGGGAGAUCCUAUAGAUGCUAAGGAAAAACAAUCUAAAGGAGGCGGUUUUGUGAAACUUUUUGUUAGUUCAGUUCCUAAGACAGCCACCAAAGAGGAUAUCCGGUUUGCGUUUCAAGAGCAUGGACAUGUUAUUGAGGUUGCUUUGAUCAACGACACGAGAAUAGGGCAGCGACAAGGUAUGUGCAAGUACAUAGGGUAUUUCGUUAAUUUAACACAUGUGAAUAUGUCUUUUCAGGUCCUUUGAAGGGACAGAGGGAACAUAUGUUGUUAGUUUUUUCGGCAUUUUCAGGCCUUUUCUUUUGGAUUGCAAGAUCCUAUCUGUCUAAGAAGAAGAAGAAGAUAAAACGAUACCGUUAUAGCUCAUUCAUGGAGAUGUCAUAUUAGCAGCUCAAGCUCUUUAUGUAGAUAUAGUUUUGGGAUUUUUUUAAAGCUUGGUUUCUAGUGUUGAGAUUUGAGACAUGUAGAAGGUAUCAUUUGAUGUACCGAUAAGUAGGUUAUUUUUAGCGUGUGAUUAGUAACAAUGUUGUAAGUUGUAACUUUGAGGAUUUCUAUUGUUUCUUUUGUUGUUAGUAA
This is a long non-coding RNA of Helianthus annuus (common sunflower), 870 nucleotides long. RefSeq lists it as uncharacterized. The transcript is spliced from 3 exons. The record is from RefSeq and is a predicted model, not a curated record. Lineage: Eukaryota; Viridiplantae; Streptophyta; Magnoliopsida; Asterales; Asteraceae.